RNAcentral lists this long non-coding RNA (2247 nucleotides) under Nicotiana benthamiana. RNAcentral describes it as "long non-coding RNA (NBEN_LNC022873)". The record is from RNAcentral. Lineage: Eukaryota; Viridiplantae; Streptophyta; Magnoliopsida; Solanales; Solanaceae.
GGUUGCUUUAUGGACUUCCAACUUACCAAGCUACCCCCUAAGAUCACACAGAAACCAGUGACAGAUCUGCAAAUAUCAGGGCAAGCUGCGCAGUCACUGUCUGAAAAGGCAUGUACAGAAAAAUCAGGAGAGUUAGAAUAGAAAAGCCCCAAAUCCAUAGUGCCCUUGAGAUACCUAAGAACAUGCAGGAGAGCAGACAUGUGAGGUAUUCUAGGAGACUGCAAGAACUGGCUCAAAUGUUGUACGGCAAAGCAAACAUCAGGUCUGGUAUGGGUCAAAAAUAGAAGCUUCCCAAUUAGGCUUCUAUAUUUGUCUGGAGAAGGGAACAUAUCACCAGAAUUAGCAUGUAGUUUGGUAGUAAGGUCUAAAGGACAAGUGACAGGAGAAACUGCAGAACAGUCAAAUUGCUGUAACAAGUCAGAGACAAAUUUCUUUUGAUUAAGAAGUACCCCACCAGGAACAGUAGACACUUCAAUUCCCAGAAAAUAAUGUAAAGACCCCAGGUCUUUAAUUCUAAACUGAUCAUCCAAGAAAUGUUUUAGGGCAGAAAUUUCAGUUGUAUCAUCUCCAGUGAUAAUGAUAUCAUCCACAUAUACUGCCAGCAGCACAAGACAGCCAGGCUGGCCCUUUAUAAACAAAGAGUAAUCAUUCAGAGAGUGGCUAUAACCUCUGGAGUAUAGAGAUUGAGACAAUUUGGCAUACCAUUGUCUUGAAGCAUGUUUUAACCCAUAGAGUGACUUCUUCAAUUUGCACACAAAGGGAGUGGAAGCAGAAGAGACAGUAGGAGCAGAAAUGUUCAAACCUGGAGGGAGCUUCAUAUAAACUUCCUCAUCUAGGUCAUCAUGCAAGAAGGCAAUGUUGACAUCAAGUUGAAAAAGAUCCCAAUGUUUUUUAACAGCUACAACAAUCAAACAUUUGACAGUAGACAUCUUAAUCACAGGGGAAAAUGUUUCAGUGAAAUCAACCCCCUCAAUCUGGGUGUCUCCUCUAAUAACAAGCCUAGUUUUAUACCUUUCAACACUGCCAUCAGCUUUAUAUUUUAUCUUAUAGACCCACUUGCAACCUAUGGGUUUCUUACCAGGAGAAAGGGGAACAACAUCCCAAGUGUGGUUGGCAUCUAAUGCAUCAAACUCUUUUCUCAUGGCAUCCUGCCAAGCUGGAGCUGUGGCAGCUUGAGAAUAAUAAAGAGGUUCAGAUUCCAGACUGGAAGUAGAGGAAGAUUUCUCAUGGUAUCCUGCCAAGCUGGAAGUGUGGCAGCUUGAGAAUAAUAAAGAGGUUCAGAUUCUAGACUGGAAGUAGAGGAAGAAGAUCCAGAAAAAGAAGGUAGCUGACACACAUAGUCUUUGGGAUAAGAAGGAGUGGUGUGUUGCCUUCCAGAUCUUCUGUUGAUAUGAGGUUGUGUAGAGGAAGAAAUAGCAGGAUGUGGAAUAUUAGGAUUGAAGGAUGCAGAAGGAAGAGGUACAAAAGGUGUGGAGUCAGAAGCAAAAGGAGGAGCAUAGCUGGAACCAGAAGGAAAAAAUUCAGAAUGAGAGGAAACAGGUGAACAAGGUGGGACAGAAAUGUGUGUCCAGAAUUUUGGUGAUCAGAAAAAGGUACAAUAGGAGGAGGAAAAGAAAAUGUGGAAGAACCAGAGGUAAUAUCAGAACUAGUUGCAAAAGGAAAAUAUGUCCCAUGAAACACAACAUCCCUGGACACAAAGCAUCUUUUGGAAGCUAGAUCAUACAACUUGUAACCCUUUUUGGCAAAAGAAUAUCCUAGAAAAACACAUGAAAGUGCUCUAGGUUUUAGUUUAUCUCUCUGUGGAAUGGAUACAGUAGCAUAAGCAAGACAACCAAAUGCCCUCAAAUGUGAGUAAUUGGGAGUCUUACCAUAUAGCACUUCAUAAGGAGAUUUGUUUUGAAGAAUCCUGGAGGGUAUCCUAUUAAGCAGGUAUGUGGCAGUUAAUAGACAGUCUCCCGGAUUUGUUUUGAAGAAUUCUGGAUGGAAUCCUAUUAAGCAGGUAUGUGGCAGUUAAUAAACAGUCCCCCCAAAAUGAUACAGGCAGUUUGGACUGAAAAAGCAAAGCUCUACAAGCUUCAAGAAGUGUUCUGUGUUUCCUUUCAACAACACCAUUUUGUUAAGGAGUGUGGGGAUAGGUAGUUUGAUGAAUAAUAACCUGUUGGUUGAAGAAAGAAGCCCCAUCAAGGCUGGACCCUAAUUCCAAGGCAUUGUCACUUCUUAUAGUUUGAACAGUAGCACCAAUCUGAG